GUACUUGCCAAGAGGAUAAAAAUCGAAUUCAACAAUCAAUCUACUACACUAGCAAGGUGCUUCACAAUGCCGAAGUAAGAUAUUCAAGAGUGGAGAAGAUGAUCUACACUCUAAUCAUAUUAUCACAAUGACUUCGCCCAUACUUUUAAGCACAUCCUAUUAUCAUCUUGACAGAUCAGUCGUUGAAGGUAAUUUUGCACCGACCUGAUACUUUAGAUCGAAUGGCAA
RNAcentral lists this long non-coding RNA (228 nucleotides) under Elaeis guineensis (African oil palm). RNAcentral's name for it is "long non-coding RNA (EGUI_LNC041483)". Lineage: Eukaryota; Viridiplantae; Streptophyta; Magnoliopsida; Arecales; Arecaceae. The record is from RNAcentral.